This 507-nucleotide ribosomal RNA is filed under the name uncultured bacterium. RNAcentral's name for it is "bacterial SSU rRNA". It matches the Rfam family "Bacterial small subunit ribosomal RNA", at positions 28 to 527 of the family's 1533-position model. The record is from RNAcentral.
GACGAACGCUGGCGGCGUGGAUUAGGCAUGCAAGUCGAACGGUAUCAUCCUUUCGGGGGUGAGAGAGUGGCGAACUGGUGAGUAACACGUAGGUUAUCUACCCUCAAGACGGGGACAACCCAGGGAAACUUGGGCUAAUACCGGAUGUGAGCAACUUUUAGUUGUUUGAAAGGUGGCGUAAGCUGUCGCUUGGGGAUGAGCCUGCGUCCUAUUAGUUAGUUGGUGAGGUAACGGCUCACCUAGGCAAUGAUAGGUAGGCGGCCUUAACGGGUGGUCGCCCACACUGGGAUUGAGAUACGGCCCAGACUCCUACGGGAGGCAGCAGUCGAGAAUAGUCUACAAUGGUCGGAAGACUGAUAGUGCGACGCCGCGUGAACGAUGAAUCCCUUCGGGGUGUAAAGUUCUUUUAUAUGUGAGCAGUGCUUCUUAUAUUAACAGUAUGGGGAGAGAGAUAUUAGCAUAUGAAUAAGCAACGGCUAACCCGUGCCCAGCAGCCGCGGUAAGACG